CGUGAGUGGCGGACGGGUGAGUAACGCGUGGGUAACCUGCCUCAUACAGGGGGAUAACAGUUAGAAAUGACUGCUAAUACCGCAUAAGACCACAGCACCGCAUGGUGCAGGGGUAAAAACUCCGGUGGUAUGAGAUGGACCCGCGUCUGAUUAGGUAGUUGGUGGGGUAACGGCCUACCAAGCCGACGAUCAGUAGCCGACCUGAGAGGGUGACCGGCCACAUUGGGACUGAGACACGGCCCAA
RNAcentral lists this ribosomal RNA (244 nucleotides) under uncultured bacterium. RNAcentral describes it as "partial 16S ribosomal RNA". It matches the Rfam family "Bacterial small subunit ribosomal RNA", at positions 90 to 334 of the family's 1533-position model. The record is from RNAcentral.